UACGUAGGUGGCGAGCGUUGUCCGGAUUUACUGGGCGUAAAGCGCGCGCAGGCGGGCUGGUCAGUCCGGGGUGAAAUCUCACGGCUCAACCGUGAGCGGUCCCCGGAUACUGCCAGUCUUGAGGUGUCUAGAGGAGAGCGGAAUUCCCGGUGUAGUGGUGGAAUGCGUAGAUAUCGGGAGGAACACCAGUGGCGAAGGCGGCGACCUGGGCAGAUACUGACGCUGAGGUGCGAAAGCGUGGGGAGCAAACAGG
This 253-nucleotide ribosomal RNA is filed under the name uncultured bacterium. RNAcentral describes it as "partial 16S ribosomal RNA". It matches the Rfam family "Bacterial small subunit ribosomal RNA", at positions 524 to 776 of the family's 1533-position model. The record is from RNAcentral.